GGGGUUGCUCCGGUAUCGACAGGGUGUUUUAGGCAGCGACUUAAAAUGGCUCAAAUGUACAAUUAGCUGCGUUACUUUAUGUAACUAGGAUGCUCUGGACUUGGGUUCGACUCCCAACAACUCCACAA
RNAcentral lists this transfer-messenger RNA (128 nucleotides) under candidate division WWE3 bacterium. It matches the Rfam family "transfer-messenger RNA". From Rfam's summary of the family: Bacterial tmRNA, also known as 10Sa RNA or SsrA, is named for its dual tRNA and mRNA-like properties. Its role is to liberate the mRNA from a stalled ribosome. Lineage: Bacteria; candidate division WWE3. The record is from RNAcentral.